Molecule: ribosomal RNA, 1366 nt
Filed under: uncultured organism
Description: bacterial SSU rRNA
Rfam family: Bacterial small subunit ribosomal RNA
Source: RNAcentral
AGUGGCGAACGGGUGAGUAACGCGUAGGUGACCUGCCCCGAAGAGAGGAAUAGCCCCGGGAAACUGGGAGUAAUACCUCAUAAUAUCGAGGUUUUUAGAAAGCCUUGAUUAAAGGAGUAAUCCGCUUUGGGAGGGGCCUGCGACCCAUCAGCUAGUUGGUAGGGUAACGGCCUACCAAGGCUAUGACGGGUAGGGGGCCUGAGAGGGUGGCCCCCCACAAUGGAACUGAAACACGGUCCAUACAUCUACGGGUGGCAGCAGUGGGGAAUAUUGCACAAUGGGCGAAAGCCUGAUGCAGCAACGUCGCGUGCGCGAAGAAGACCUUCGGGUUGUAAAGCUCUGUCAGGAGGGAAGAAGGCUCUACGGGUUAAUAGCCCGUGGAAUUGACGGUACCUCCAGAGGAAGCCCCGGCUAAAUACGUGCCAGCAGCCGCGGUAAUACGUAUGGGGCAAGCGUUGUCCGGAUUUACUGGGCGUAAAGGGCGCGUAGGCGGUUUGUUAGGUCGAAGGUGAAAUCCUCGGGCUCAACUCGAGAAUUGCCUUCGAUACUGGCAAACUAGAGUGGCGGAGAGGAAAGCGGAACUCUUGGUGUAACGGUGGAAUGUGUAGAUAUCAAGAGGAACACCGGUGGCGAAGGCGGCUUUCUGGACGCACACUGACGCUCAGGCGCGAAAGCGUGGGUAGCAAACAGGAUUAGAUACCCUGGUAGUCCACGCCAUAAACGAUGGGUACUAGGUGUCGGGGGUAUCGACCCCUCCGGUGCCGCAGUUAACGCACUAAGUACCCCGCCUGGGGAUUAUGGUCGCAAGGCUGAAACUCAAAGGAAUUGACGGGGCCCCGCACAAGCGGUGGAGCAUGUGGUUUAAUUCGACGCAACGCGAAGAACCUUACCUGGGCUUGACAUGCUUGGGACAGCGCUGGAAACAGCGUCUCUCCUUCGGGAGCCCUUGCACAGGUGCUGCAUGGCUGUCGUCAGCUCGUGUCGUGAGAUGUUGGGUUAAGUCCCGCAACGAGCGCAACCCUCGUUACUAGUUGCCAUCAGUUCGGCUGGGCACUCUGGUGAGACUGCCGGUGAUAAACCGGAGGAAGGUGAGGAUGAUGUCAAGUCAUCAUGGCCCUCACGCCCAGGGCUACACACGUGCUACAAUGGUCGGCACAAAGGGUCGCUAAGCCGCGAGGUGGAGCUAAUCCCAAAAAGCCGGCCUCAGUUCGGAUUGGAGUCUGCAACCCGACUCCAUGAAGGCGGAAUCGCUAGUAAUCGCGGAUCAGCAUGCCGCGGUGAAUAUGUUCCCGGGGCUUGUACACACCGCCCGUCAUAUCACCCGAGUCGGGGAUACCCGAAGUCCGUGACCCAACCAUUUGGAGGG